Molecule: ribosomal RNA, 701 nt
Filed under: uncultured Desulfurococcales archaeon
Lineage: Archaea; Thermoproteati; Thermoproteota; Thermoprotei; Desulfurococcales
Description: bacterial SSU rRNA
Rfam family: Archaeal small subunit ribosomal RNA
Source: RNAcentral
UAGGGCGAAAUCCAUUAAUCCCGGGAGGACCACCUGUGGCGAAGGCGCUCGGCUGGAACGCGCCCGACGGUGAGGGGCGAAAGCCGGGGGAGCGAACCGGAUUAGAUACCCGGGUAGUCCCGGCUGUAAACGAUGCGGGCUAGGUGUUGGGCGGGCGUGAGGGCCCGCCCCAGGUGCCGCAGGGAAGCCGUUAAGCCCGCCGCCUGGGGAGUACGGCCGCAAGGCUGAAACUUAAAGGAAUUGGCGGGGGAGCACCACAAGGGGUGGAGCCUGCGGCUUAAUUGGAGUCAACGCCGGGAACCUCCACCGGGGGCGACAGCAGGAUGACGCCCAGGCUGAAGGCCUUGGCCGACACGCUGAGGGGAGGUGCAUGGCCGUCGCCAGCUCGUGCCGUGAGGUGUCCUGUUAAGUCAGGCAACGAGCGAGACCCCCGCCCCUAGUUGCUACCCCAGGGGAGACCCUGGGGGCACACUAGGGGGGCUGCCGCCGCUAAGGCGGAGGAAGGAGGGGGCAACGGCAGGUCAGCAUGCCCCUAAACCCCCGGGCUGCACGCGGGCUACAAUGGCGGGGACAGCGGGUUCCGACCCCGUAAGGGGAAGGCAAUCCCUGAAACCCCGCCUCAGUUGGGAUCGAGGGCUGCAACUCGCCCUCGUGAACGUGGAAUCCCUAGUAACCGCGCGUCAUCAUCGCGCGGUGAAUAC